This is a non-coding RNA of Phrynosoma platyrhinos (Desert horned lizard), 72 nucleotides long. The record is from the annotation of a GenBank genome assembly. NCBI's taxonomy places the organism in Eukaryota, Metazoa, Chordata, Lepidosauria, Squamata, Phrynosomatidae.
GCCAGUGUGAUGUAGUGGUUUGAGUGUUGGACUAUGACUCUAGAGACCAGGGUUCGAUUCCCAGCUUGCUCA